GGGAACGGUUAACGGGGAUGGCACACAGCAUGCAGUCGUACGAGUGAAGUCCACAGCUUGCUGGGAUGGAUCAGUGGCGAACGGGUGAGUAACACGUGAGCAACCUGCCCUCCACUUCGGGAUAAGCCUUGGAAACGGGGUCUAAUACCGGAUAUGAGCUUCCGUCGCAUGGCGGGGGUUGGAAAGUUUUUCGGUGGGGGAUGGGCUCGCGGCCUAUCAGCUUGUUGGUGGGGUGAUGGCCUACCAAGGCGUCGACGGGUAGCCGGCCUGAGAGGGCGACCGGCCACACUGGGACUGAGACACGGCCCAGACUCCUACGGGAGGCAGCAGUGGGGAAUAUUGCACAAUGGGCGCAAGCCUGAUGCAGCGACGCCGCGUGAGGGAUGACGGCCUUCGGGUUGUAAACCUCUUUCAGCAGGGAAGAAGCGCAAGUGACGGUACCUGCAGAAGAAGCGCCGGCUAACUACGUGCCAGCAGCCGCGGUAAUACGUAGGGCGCAAGCGUUGUCCGGAAUUAUUGGGCGUAAAGAGCUCGUAGGCGGUCUGUCGCGUCUGGUGUGAAAUCCCGAGGCUCAACCUCGGGCUUGCAUCGGGUACGGGCAGACUAGAGUGCGGUAGGGGAGACUGGAAUUCCUGGUGUAGCGGUGGAAUGCGCAGAUAUCAGGAGGAACACCGAUGGCGAAGGCAGGUCUCUGGGCCGCAACUGACGCUGAGGAGCGAAAGCAUGGGGAGCGAACAGGAUUAGAUACCCUGGUAGUCCAUGCCGUAAACGUUGGGCACUAGGUGUGGGGCUCAUUCCACGAGUUCCGUGCCGCAGCUAACGCAUUAAGUGCCCCGCCUGGGGAGUACGGCCGCAAGGCUAAAACUCAAAGGAAUUGACGGGGGCCCGCACAAGCGGCGGAGCAUGCGGAUUAAUUCGAUGCAACGCGAAGAACCUUACCAAGGCUUGACAUGUACGAGAACACGCUAGAGAUAGCGGACUCUUUGGACACUCGUACACAGGUGGUGCAUGGUUGUCGUCAGCUCGUGUCGUGAGAUGUUGGGUUAAGUCCCGCAACGAGCGCAACCCUCGUCCUAUGUUGCCAGCGGGUUAUGCCGGGGACUCAUGGGAGACUGCCGGGGUCAACUCGGAGGAAGGUGGGGAUGACGUCAAAUCAUCAUGCCCCUUAUGUCUUGGGCUUCACGCAUGCUACAAUGGCCGGUACAGAGGGCUGCGAUACCGUAAGGUGGAGCGAAUCCCAAAAAGCCGGUCUCAGUUCGGAUUGGGGUCUGCAACUCGACCCCAUGAAGUCGGAGUCGCUAGUAAUCGCAGAUCAGCAACGCUGCGGUGAAUACGUUCCCGGGCCUUGUACACACCGCCCGUCA
Molecule: ribosomal RNA, 1364 nt
Filed under: Promicromonospora sp. FS60
Lineage: Bacteria; Bacillati; Actinomycetota; Actinomycetes; Micrococcales; Promicromonosporaceae
Description: bacterial SSU rRNA
Rfam family: Bacterial small subunit ribosomal RNA
Source: RNAcentral